CAAAGGUAUGGUCCCAGCCUUCCUAUUAAUUUGUAACAGAAUUACACAUGCAAGUAUCUACGCCCCCGUGAGAAUGCCCUCUAUGUUAUAAUUAACCUAAAGGAGCGGGUAUCAAGCACACCAGUGGUAGCUUCAAGACACCUUGCUAAACCACCCCCCCACGGGUUACAGCAGUGGUUGAAAUUAAGAAAUAAACGAAAGUUUGACUAAGUUAUGUUACAUCAGGGUUGGUAAAUCCCGUGCCAGCCACCGCGGUCACACGGGAUACCCGAGUUAAUAGGCCCCCGGCGUAAAGGGUGUUUUAGAUAUAUUAUAAAUAAAGUUAAAUAUUUACUAUGCUGUAAUAAGCUUGAGUUUAAACAAAAUAAUGCACGAAAGUCACUUUAAAAUUUCUGAGCACACGAUCGCUAAGACCCAAACUGGGAUUAGAUACCCCACUAUGCUUAGCCCUAAACAUUAACUAUUUAUAACCCAAUUGUUCGCCAGAGUACUACAAGCAACAGCUCAAAACUCAAAGGACUUGGCGGUGCUUUACAUCCCUCUAGAGGAGCCUGUUCUAUAACCGAUACACCCCGAUAAACCUCACCACCUCUCGCCACCUCAGCCUGUAUACCGCCAUCUUCAGCAAACCUUAUCAAGGAAGAAAAGUAAGCACAAAUGUAGUCACAAAAACGUUAGGUCAAGGUGCAGCUUAUGGGGUGGAAAGCAAUGGGCUACAUUUCCUUUAUACGCAAGUACACCACGUUAACUCCCAUGAAAGCUGGGAGGAGAAGGAGGAUCUAGUAGUAAGCUACGAAUAGAGAGCUUAGCUGAAUAAGGCCAUAAAGCACGCACACACCGCCCGUCACCCUCCUCAAGCAUUUCUUAAAUAUAUAAGUAAUUAUCUACCCAAAAAUGUAAGAAGAGAUAAGUCGUAACAAGGUAAGCAUACUGGAAAGUGUGCUUGGAGAAUC
Molecule: non-coding RNA, 953 nt
Filed under: Myomimus roachi (Roach's mouse-tailed dormouse)
Lineage: Eukaryota; Metazoa; Chordata; Mammalia; Rodentia; Gliridae
Description: 12S ribosomal RNA
Rfam family: Bacterial small subunit ribosomal RNA
Source: RNAcentral